Molecule: ribosomal RNA, 254 nt
Filed under: uncultured bacterium
Lineage: Bacteria
Description: partial 16S ribosomal RNA
Rfam family: Bacterial small subunit ribosomal RNA
Source: RNAcentral
UACGUAGGGUGCAAGCGUUGUCCGGAAUUAUUGGGCGUAAAGAGCUCGUAGGCGGUCUGUCGCGUCGGCUGUGAAAACUCGGGGCUCAACUCCGAGCUUGCAGUCGAUACGGGGCAGGCUAGAGUUCGGCAGGGGAGACUGGAAUUCCUGGUGUAGCGGUGAAAUGCGCAGAUAUCAGGAGGAACACCGGUGGCGAAGGCGGGUCUCUGGGCCGAUACUGACGCUGAGGAGCGAAAGCGUGGGGAGCGAACAGG